CCUACGGGAGGCAGCAGUGGGGAAUAUUGCACAAUGGGCGAAAGCCUGAUGCAGCAACGCCGCGUGAGCGAUGAAGGCCUUCGGGUCGGAAAGCUCUGUCCUCAAGGAAGAGAAUGACGGUACUUGAGGAGGAAGCCCCGGCUAACUACGUGCCAGCAGCCGCGGUAAUACGUAGGGGGCGAGCGUUAUCCGGAAUUACUGGGCGUAAAGGGGGCGGAGGUGGUUUCUUAAGUCAGAGGUGAAAGGCUCCGGCUCAACCGGAGGAAGCAUUUGAAACUGGGGAACUUGAGUGCAGGAGAGGCGAGUGGAAUUCCUUGUGUAGCGGUGACAUGCGUAGAUAUUAGGAGGACCCCCAGUUGCGAUGGCGGCUCUCUGGACUGUAACUGACACUGAGGCACGAAAGCGUGGGGAGCAAACCGGAUUAGAUACCCGAGUAGUC
Molecule: ribosomal RNA, 439 nt
Filed under: uncultured bacterium
Lineage: Bacteria
Description: partial 16S ribosomal RNA
Rfam family: Bacterial small subunit ribosomal RNA
Source: RNAcentral